GACGAACGCUGGCGGCGUGCCUAAUACAUGCAAGUCGAACGCAUUUUCUCUCAUCGUAGCUUGCUCUACCGAAAGAAAGUGAGUGGUGACCGGGUGAGUAACUCGUGGGUAACCUGCCCAACAGCGGGGGAAAACACUCGGAUACAGGUGCUAAUAUCGCAUAAUUCCAUUUACCGCUUGGAAGAUGGAUGAAAGGCGCUUUUGCGUCACCGAUGCAUGGACCCGCGGUGCAUUGGCUAGUUGGUGGGGUAACGGCCUACCAAGGCUGCGAUGCAUACCCGACCUGAGAGGGUGAGCGGCCGGACUGGGACGGAGACACGGCCCAGACGGCUACGGGAGGCAGCAGUAGUGAUUCUGCAGCAAUGGACGCAAGUCUGACCGAGCAACGCCGCGUGAGUGAGGAAGGUUGUCGGGUUGGAAAACUCUGUUGUUAGGGAGGAACAAGGAUGAGAGUGGGAAGUUCAGCCCUUGACGGUAACGAGCCAAGAAGCCACGGCUAACUACGUG
RNAcentral lists this ribosomal RNA (507 nucleotides) under uncultured bacterium. RNAcentral's name for it is "partial 16S ribosomal RNA". It matches the Rfam family "Bacterial small subunit ribosomal RNA", at positions 28 to 507 of the family's 1533-position model. The record is from RNAcentral.